UACGGAGGGUGCAAGCGUUGUCCGGAUUUAUUGGGUUUAAAGGGUGCGUAGGCGGCCUGGUAAGUCGGCGGUGAAAGCCCGGGGCUCAACCCCGGAACUGCCAUCGAUACUGUCAGGCUUGAGUACAGGCGAGGUUGGCGGAAUGGGCGGUGUAGCGGUGAAAUGCAUAGAUACCGUCCAGAACCCCGAUUGCGAAGGCAGCUGACUAGGCUGUAACUGACGCUGAGGCACGAAAGCGUGGGGAGCGAACAGG
This 253-nucleotide ribosomal RNA is filed under the name uncultured bacterium. Its description in RNAcentral is "partial 16S ribosomal RNA". It matches the Rfam family "Bacterial small subunit ribosomal RNA", at positions 524 to 776 of the family's 1533-position model. The record is from RNAcentral.